RNAcentral lists this ribosomal RNA (301 nucleotides) under uncultured bacterium. RNAcentral describes it as "partial 16S ribosomal RNA". It matches the Rfam family "Bacterial small subunit ribosomal RNA", at positions 509 to 807 of the family's 1533-position model. The record is from RNAcentral.
CAGCAGCCGCGGUAAUACAGAGGGUGCGAGCGUUAAUCGGAUUUACUGGGCGUAAAGCGUGCGUAGGCGGCUUCUUAAGUCGGAUGUGAAAUCCCUGAGCUUAACUUAGGAAUUGCAUUCGAUACUGGGAAGCUAGAGUAUGGGAGAGGAUGGUAGAAUUCCAGGUGUAGCGGUGAAAUGCGUAGAGAUCUGGAGGAAUACCGAUGGCGAAGGCAGCCAUCUGGCCUAAUACUGACGCUGAGGUACGAAAGCAUGGGGAGCAAACAUGAUUAGAUACCCCCGUAGUCCCUGUCUCUUAUAC